ACCAUUCAGCUCUUGCACCUACUUUCAUUUCAUACAACUACAAAGUUGAAAAAAGAAAUAUGGGUUCUAAAAGUUUCCUACUACUUGCUCUGUGCAUUGCUUUUGCUCUUCUCCUUAGUUCAGAAGUUGCAGCUAGACAAUUAGCUGAAACUAGGACUACGACUGAGGGAGGUGAUUCAGAUGGUGGAGGCCACUACAACCGCGGAGUAGUCGGUGGAAGAGACAGAGCACUCGAAGAGUACAAACCAACGCCCUAUAAAACACCAACAUGCGUUAAAACAUGUUAUGGCAUGUGUUGUUAAGAAGCUGAAGCAAAAGCACCUCACAACUAGCUAGAGGCCACUAGAAGCAUAUACGUACUUGUAAUAUUACUAAUACUUACAAAUAAGUUGCAGCACUCAGUACUUACAAAUAAAAUGCUUGAACUCAAAACAAGCAUGUAUCACUUGGUGAUUUGGAUGCACUUAUUUUUCCUGACUUAUUUCGGGAAAAAAAAUAUAUUUAUUUAAUAUUAAUUUUUUUAUCGAA
Daucus carota subsp. sativus is the source of this 528-nucleotide long non-coding RNA. RefSeq lists it as uncharacterized. The record is from RefSeq and is a predicted model, not a curated record. Lineage: Eukaryota; Viridiplantae; Streptophyta; Magnoliopsida; Apiales; Apiaceae. The transcript is spliced from 2 exons.